RNAcentral lists this ribosomal RNA (85 nucleotides) under Vibrio alginolyticus. RNAcentral's name for it is "partial 16S ribosomal RNA". It matches the Rfam family "Bacterial small subunit ribosomal RNA", at positions 1449 to 1533 of the family's 1533-position model. The record is from RNAcentral. RNAcentral also lists the same sequence under 4 other names. Lineage: Bacteria; Pseudomonadati; Pseudomonadota; Gammaproteobacteria; Vibrionales; Vibrionaceae.
GACGCUUACCACUUUGUGGUUCAUGACUGGGGUGAAGUCGUAACAAGGUAGCGCUAGGGGAACCUGGCGCUGGAUCACCUCCUUA